CGGCCUCUAUCAAUCUUCAAGGAGAGGACGGUGAUCAAAACGGAAACAGGAAAAAUUCUCCAGAAGCAGAGCACAGCGACACUUCGCCCUUCGGUUACUUCGCUGGAUCUCAAAUUCGAACCCUAAUUUACCUCUGAAUUCCACUUAACCUUCAGAGAAUUCUCCAGAAUGUUGACGGGCCACGCAGAUGUGCUGCCGAAACAUGGUUCCGCAAAGGAUUUGCUGCUAUCUGAUCCUGUAUCAGAGAUUAAUGAAGAUGAAGAAGGGGAUGCUCACGGGCAGAUACUGUAUAAAGCUUCUUUCAAAGAACUGGCUGAAAAAAAUGUUGAGUAUGACACUGUUACAUGGGUUUUAAUAUCCUUGCUCCUGGUUUUAGCCUGGGGAAUUGGAAUCAUCAUGUUGCUUUAUCUGCCCAUCAGAAGAUAUGUGCUACAGAAGGACAUUUCAUCACGCAAACUGUAUGUUACUCCUUAUGAAAUAGUUUACAAGGUCACAAGGCCUUCCUUUGUACCCUUUUGGGGAAUAAUAAAGAUAGAAAAGCAUGUACCUCUGUCGGAGGUGAUUGACAUUAUCAUUGAACAAGGCUGCUUGCAAUCAUUGUAUGGUAUCCAUACCUUCCUAGUUGAAAGCAGAGCACGGGGAAAAGCUGCACCUGUAGAUCAAUUGCAGGUGCAAGGGGUUUAUAACCCGGGACUUUUGCGAAAGAUCAUUGUAUCUGAAGCUUCCAAGAUGAUACAAGAUGUUGGCAGAAGCUGGAAACCACAUCCUCAAAUCAGUGAACGGGAUACCAUUGUCCAUAUGGGAUCUUCAGCUGAGGGUCCAGCCGUGUUGAGAUCACCAUACAAAAGUCAGAAGAUCAUAGGUUCCCCACACCAUGCUUCAGUUGAGCACGGAAGUGUCCUGCCUGCAGACGUGUUGCUACAUAAACUUGAAGAAGUUAACAAAUCAGUCAAGAAAAUCGAGCUGCUUGUCAACAAGUCCCGGCCUUCCCAAGAUGACAGCUAAUCUACAGUCACCGUCUCCUUCCAAUGGGUACCGCCGCCCUAUGGAAGAGGAGAUUGAAAAGCGAAGUGCCAUGCCCUCUAACUAUUCAUCAAGGCGGCAUUUCAUUGGCAACGCCGACGUCCCCCACCGUGUUUUCUUUCGUCUCCGGUGACAGCUCUCUCUCUCUAUCUUUCUCUCAUUUUGCCAUCUAGGAGCUAACAAUAGGAAUUAUGAUAGACUCAACUAAUUCUUCUCCCCUGUGAGUCUGUGAUAUUAUGUAUUUGUGCUCUCUCUCUCUCUCAUUUUCCCUUCUAGGAGCAAACAAUAGGAAUUAGGAUAGACUUAACUUAUUCUUCUCCCCUGCGAGUGUGAUAUUAUGUAUUUGUGUUCUGUAUGUGAGAUGGCAUUUAGUUCAAUAGGAUGCUUAAAUUUGUGAUUACACAGUUCUAUUAUCAAAAAUGAAUUUGAGAACAAAUGGUAAAAUGUUUGGUAUUCCAAACGGAGGACAGGAGGAUUUCUUCUUUUAGCAAUGACUAGGACUUAGAUUCUUGUAUAGAUAGGCCCUGUGAUUUACCUUUCGAAAGCUGAUUUAGGGUUUAUAGUUUGGGAUAAUCAUAAACAAAGUUAUAGUCUGAUAAUAGGUGAAGGGUUAGUGAAUCUCAAGUCACGAAUUUGAGUAUUGGAAGCCUUUAAUGAAAUGAUUUUUUUUUAUUUUUUUUUUUUUGUGGUAGACAUUUUUAUAAUAAUGUUGUCGGUUAUGAAUUUAAGACAUUCUAAUAAUUAGUAUUUUGUUGAGCACUCUAAUAAUUAAAAUUAGGGCUAAUUAUGAAAAUAAUUCAAUUAUUUUAGUGAAUUUGUAUUUUUUUUUUAAUUUUGUCAAUUAGGUCUAAAUUGAUUUAGAGAAAAUGUGUCAAUGCUGAUUUAACAUGUUAGAUGUCACACUUAGUAUGCUGAGUUGAUUUUACAUGUUGAAUAAAAUUAUAUUCAAUUAAACUAAUUUAAAUUUAAUUGUUAAAAUUAAAAAAAAUUGUUGCCCUUAGAAUUAUUAUGGUUAACAUGAGCUUAACAUGAAACUUAGUAGAAAUAACACAACUAAAAUAAACGUAAUGGUUCUUUUAUGAAAAUUAAUUAAUUAAUGUGUAUUUAUUACACUUUAAUUAUUGCUCUUAAGAUCAAACUUGAUGGUUAACUAAACAUGUUUUUCAUAUUAAUUGGUGAAAAAGCACAAUUUAUAUCAUGUAUGUUGGAAGUGGAGGUGUUCAAAUUUCGAUCUGGAUCCAAUCGGAAAGCUCAAUUCAGUCUGGAUAAGUUUAGUUCAAUUUUUAGUCUGAAAAUUAAAAAAAAUCUGUCUUCCAUUCGGUCCCAAUUUUAAUUCAAAGACUGAAUAAAUUAUAUAUAUAUAUAUAUAUAAGUUUUUAACUUAGCAAUAUUAUAAUAUUGUUGUAUUUUUUUUGAAUAAAUUACAUUUCAAAAAGUCUACAUUAGAGGAUAUCACGUAACAAAAAAAAUUAAAAUAAUAACAUAACAACAACAUAUUAGAAACCAACAAAAGAAAAUUCAUCUUAUAACAUAAUAAAAUCACGUAAAAGAAAUCGUCAAUAAUAUUAUAAAUAUGAUAAUAUGUGCUGCAAUAGUAUUUAUAUUAAUAUAGUUACAGAAACAAUAUAACCAUUGUAUUACUACAAAUAUAAAUUAAAUAAGAUAUAAUCGAUCAAACCAAGUUGAUCCAAUCCCACUCUUGGGAUUACUAUUUUUGCAUGGUUUUCUGUCUCUCUUGCUUUUGAUUUUGACAUGUGAGAUAAAUUAUAAAUGAAAAUUUUAUCUAAUUAGACAGGAUAAAAAAUUAAAUUCAUGACCUAUUAAUAUGAAUCUUAAUUUAUCAUGACUCAAUCACUUAAAAUGUGUCUUAGGAGUUGAUCAAAUCGAGAGCGAUUUUGUUCACUCCCUUAAUGAUCACCCUCACUACUUUUGUGAGGGUAAAAAAUAACGGGCAAAAAUAGUGAGGGUGAUAAUCACCCCGUUAAAGGAGGAACAAAAUCGCACUCGAUCCAAUCCCACGAUGU
Diospyros lotus (date-plum) is the source of this 3047-nucleotide RNA transcript. RefSeq lists it as uncharacterized. The transcript has 8 exons. NCBI's taxonomy places the organism in Eukaryota, Viridiplantae, Streptophyta, Magnoliopsida, Ericales, Ebenaceae. The record is from RefSeq and is a predicted model, not a curated record.